AAUUGGAAGCGGUUCAUUUGGGGAAGAAAAAAAAAUCUUCAGCAAAUCUUUCGACCUUUCCGAUCAUUCUCCUCUUGUUUUGAAUAACACACAAUUUCCGUCUGUCUAGUAUUCUCGCAAGAUGUUGAGCUAGCUUUGAGCGUUCUGCCUUCUCUGCUAGCUUUGGACUUUAAGUCCACUAAUCUUAAUACCAUUCUUCAAUAUACGUGUCUGCUAUUAAUAUAAAAUUUAAUUUUGGGACAAUUUAGUGUCCUUUUCCUGUUUAGUUUAAAAUUACCUGGUAGGUUGAAAGCUCUUGUUAUUAGUAUCAUUGAAGUAAUGCUCUUAUAAAAAAGGAUGUUGGAUAUGUUUUAGAUUUAAGCACAAAUGACGAUUCUUGGCUUAUCUUUGAUUGAGUUUUUUUCUAAGGUUGUUUCCUGGCUAUUUUAAUAAUUCUCUCUGCUUUUCAACAGCUUCUACAUUCUGCAACAAACUUUGUUUCAAAGGACAAUAUGUUUAAUGUGAAUUGUAUUCAUUCUUCUGAAGUUAAAUAAUUUUGAUGCUUUAGACUUCCUUGUUUCCAAAUGACUUCUCCAUUUAGUAACAAUUAAAGCGAGUGUUUCAAAAUGUAUUUUUGUGAGGCUAUACCAAUGGUACUGAUUGAUUUGGUAUUGAGGUACUGCUAAUGUUUUCAUACCCAUUUGAGAAAUGUGUUACCUUCACAUUCAAAUUAAUAUGGACUCUCCGUCGUGAAACCAAAUAAAGAAACAAUUUUUGUUGUUGAUACUAUCUCCUCCCCUCUCUCUCUCUGACUGCCUUCAAAUGCUUGAAGAAACGUUGAUGUUUACAUUGGUACUUUAAAAAAUACAAUAAUUGCAUUUUUGCAUUGUCUUUUUUUUCUCUAACUUAGUUCUAUCUUUUCCUUUUAACCUUAACCCCACUUUCUUGACUAACUUGUACCAGUUUGUUUCCUUCUCGCGUCUUGAACUGAAUGGAUCAUUUUGAUAAUUCUACAUGUCAUUUUGAAUUUAUAUUGUCAUCAUAUAUCUGAAAUAUUCAAUUUGUAGUCCUUAAGAAAAAGAAUGCUUACACAUUAGUGCUUAGGUAUGUUGCCACUCUCAAAGAAAUAUCAUCAAUGUGUGCCAUACAAUGCAAGAGUUAUCAAUACUCAUGUACCUAAAAGUAUGCAAGGUAGAUAUAGAUGAGUAGUAAGUUGUACUUGUACCAAAAACAAAUUCAGAUUAUAUGCUCUCAUCAUCAUUGUUUCAUCACCAGCAUUGCCUUUACUAUAGCAAGUAUUCCUUUCAAUGGUUAUUUUCUCCAGUACUUUAUCCUCUUUACUUUCUUAUUUCUGUAUCAGAUGUAUUGAUUCUUUGUUCUAUGGCAAAUUUUGUUACAUGCACAGAUUUUUUUAAGCAUGAUGUACAGUCAAACCUAUCUUAUACUUUGGUCAAACUGGCGAGACCAACACCAGACUAUCAAGUGACUGAACCAAAAAUAAAAAUAUAAAUGGAGUCGCUGUGGCAGUCUUUGCUGAAUAAUUAAGUGGCCAUUUGUCAGUAGUGGGAAUACCUACAUCGCAUCCCAUCAGAAAUAAAUUUAUGAUAAUUGUAGAACCUGUCAGGAAUGACCACUUAUCUACAGUGGCCAAUUGUUCAGUUUUCUGCAGGUCGCCUCAAUUGACAGGUUUGACCGUAUUUCAAAAUGUAUUUCAUACUUAGCAUUCAUCUGUUUCAUAUUGUCUGUUUUUGGAGCCAAAAAGGCAUGAACUACAUUACAGACUUUAAUGUUGUCCUUGUCCAAACAUAAUAGAUAUCCAGGUAUUUCUGGGCUCAUAUUCAUACAACAUUACUGAGCCUAGCUGUCAACCAACUAUGUGAUUAGUUACCAGCUAGCUUAGUAUUAAAGGUUUUAUGAGUAUGGGCCACCAGUGUCUAUAACUUAGCGGCUCUCUUUGUGCCCCUUUUCUCUCUUUUCCUUGUAAUGUCAGUUGGCUUUGCACAGAUGAAAUUGUGUGUUUCAUAACAGAUAAGGAGACACUUUCUCAAAGAAACAAUAACAAAAUAAGAUCUUGUUUGUUGAGAGCCAGAAGGGUGUUUAUUCUGUAUUAAAUGAGAUGAGUUAAUGCCCUUUUUGCUCUCAUCAGAUGAACCAUGCUAGAACUUUUCCAUUUUCAUGGGAACAGCAUCAUCAGCAUCAUAAGCAUCAUCAGUGUCAUUUCAUUUCCAUCAGUCAGUGCCACAUAUACCAUUUCCAUGAUUCUUAAUCUUGUCCCUGCACUUGCCAAGCAUAAAAUGUCAAAUGCCAGAGGUAAAGGUUGAAUAAGGAUUAGGUUGUAAGGUCAGAGGCAACAGUUGAGGAAGGAUUAGUUGUAAGGUCAGAGGUAAGGGUUGAAUCAUGAUUGAAAUCAGAGUCCUUGUGCAUUUAUCAUUAUAAUAUAAUUUUUUUUCUUCUUCAUAUUAUGAA
Strongylocentrotus purpuratus (purple sea urchin) is the source of this 2445-nucleotide long non-coding RNA. RefSeq lists it as uncharacterized. The record is from RefSeq and is a predicted model, not a curated record. Lineage: Eukaryota; Metazoa; Echinodermata; Echinoidea; Camarodonta; Strongylocentrotidae. The transcript has 2 exons.